Molecule: long non-coding RNA, 440 nt
Organism: Neopsephotus bourkii (Bourke's parrot)
Lineage: Eukaryota; Metazoa; Chordata; Aves; Psittaciformes; Psittacidae
Exons: 5
Source: RefSeq, a predicted model, not a curated record
GGGGUUAGGGUGUAGGUAUGUGCCCCAUAGAGGAUAGCUCUGCCCCAUAGCAGGAACUGGGGGGUGCCUGACUUCCCCUUUCCCCCCCCCAGGCUGGACCAGGAUGGUGCUGACCUGCUGGGGCAGCUGCUGCAGUUCGAGGGGCGGCGGCGGCUGCCGGCAGCUGAGGCCAUGGCGCAUCCGUUCUUCGCCUGCCUGGGGCCCCGCGUCACCACCCUGCCCGACACCACCUCCAUCUUCGCGCUGAAGGAGAUCCAGCUGCAGAAGGAGCCAGGGCUGCGCUCGGCCACGCUGCCCCCCCCAGGUUCCUCUGCCUUCCGGGUGCUUGACACUGAGUUCUGACACUGAGCAGCCCUUGGAUCGCUGCUGCAACGCCAUGGGACCCCCCCCAACACUGGGGGGGCAGGGGGGAUGUUGACCCCCAAAGCUGGGGCAUAUCU